RNAcentral lists this ribosomal RNA (462 nucleotides) under uncultured bacterium. RNAcentral describes it as "bacterial SSU rRNA". It matches the Rfam family "Bacterial small subunit ribosomal RNA", at positions 46 to 507 of the family's 1533-position model. The record is from RNAcentral.
GCUUAAUACAUGCAAGUCAACUGAAGCACCGGUAGUAUACUGGUGUGGAGGUGGCGCACGGGUGAGUAACACGUAGGUAAUCUGCCUUCAGGUCUGACAUAACCCCGAGAAAUCGGGGCUAAUAGCAGAUGAUGCAGCGGCUUGACAUCAAGACAGUUGUUAAAGCUUCGGCGCCUGAAGAUGAGCCUGCGUCUGAUUAGCUAGUUGGCGGAGUAAUAGCCCACCAAGGCGACGAUCAGUAGCUGGUCUGAGAGGAUGAUCAGCCACACUGGAACUGAGACACGGUCCAGACUCCUACGGGAGGCAGCAGUAAGGAAUAUUGCUCAAUGGGAGAAAUCCUGAAGCAGCAACGCCGCGUGAGGGAUGAAGGGCUUUUGCUCGUAAACCUCUGUAGUGAGGGAAAAAAUUUCCAUUCUAUGGAAUAUGAUGGUACCUCAAAAGUAAGCCCCGGCUAACUACGUG